RNAcentral lists this unclassified non-coding RNA (715 nucleotides) under Hevea brasiliensis (rubber tree). The record is from RNAcentral. Lineage: Eukaryota; Viridiplantae; Streptophyta; Magnoliopsida; Malpighiales; Euphorbiaceae.
CACAAACUCAAUACAUUUUCAGUAUCCAUCAAUUUUAUUUAAUGUACCCAAUAUAAACACAAAAGUCUAAAUUUUACAAAAAAGAAAACGAAAAUAAUAUCAUUACAAAUUAUACUGUAUAACUGCUCAACUAGUACAAAAGAUAUAUAUGAACAAAAAUAUUUAUAUCAAACUAAAUUACAAAGGGUAUAAAUAAUAUACUCGUACAAAAAUCCUCAAACAGUGCUCCUCUAUCACAAGAGCAGCUCACUCUGUUGCUUUAUCCUUUUCUCUACUCGUAUAUGAGCUUUUCCUUACUUGACUCCCGUCUAGUUCCUUCCUUGGAAGGCCCUUUCUCCACUGAAACACAAAAUUAAGGUAUUUCAAUAUUUAUCCAAAUCAUGUCUAAUCAUAAUUCUAGUAAUUUCAUUUGCAUCUUAAAGUGACUUAUAAGGUCUUAUAAGUAGAGCUUCUUAUAUUCUUGGUUAUAGAGGUUACUAUUCAUUUGACUAAUCGGGUAAAAUGUUGACUUUUUCAUAUUUAAUAGGUAUACUAGUUCUAAUUCCACCCACAUACCAUAUUUUGGGCUAUAAUUGUGUUGGCAUUGAUUGCCAAUUGAAAUUCCAAACUCCCUAAAUGAAAUUCCAAAAUUUUAGUUUUGGGUCACUUGGUUCUACUAUUCCAUUGGAUCUUCUAUAGUGGAAAUUUGGCCAACUUUCCUUCAUCAAAGUUGUUC